GACGAACGCUGGCGGCGUGCUUAACACAUGCAAGUCGAACGGUGAAGGGGUCUGCUUUUGUGGGCCCUGGAUGAGUGGCGAACGGGUGAGUAACACGUGAGUAACCUGCCCCCUUCUUCUGGAUAACCGCAUGAAAGUGUGGCUAAUACGGGAUAUUCUGGGUCUGUCGCAUGAUGGGUCUGGGAAAGAUUUCGCCUUUGGGUGUUUUUGGUGGGGGAUGGGCUCGCGGCCUAUCAGCUUGUUGGUGGGGUGAUGGCCUACCAAGGCGGUGACGGGUAGCCGGCCUGAGAGGGGGGACGGUCACACUGGGACUGAGACACGGCCCAGACUCCUACGGGAGGCAGCAGUGGGGAAUAUUGCACAAUGGGCGCAAGCCUGAUGCAGCGACGCCGCGUGAGGGAUGGAGGCCUUCGGGUUGUAAACCUCUUUCGCCAGUGAAGCAGGCCUGCUCCUUGUGGGUGGGUUGACGGUAGCUGGAGAAGAAGCGCCGGCUAACUACGUG
Molecule: ribosomal RNA, 502 nt
Filed under: uncultured bacterium
Lineage: Bacteria
Description: partial 16S ribosomal RNA
Rfam family: Bacterial small subunit ribosomal RNA
Source: RNAcentral